This 253-nucleotide ribosomal RNA is filed under the name uncultured bacterium. Its description in RNAcentral is "partial 16S ribosomal RNA". It matches the Rfam family "Bacterial small subunit ribosomal RNA", at positions 524 to 776 of the family's 1533-position model. The record is from RNAcentral.
GACAGAGGUCCCAAGCGUUAGGCGGAAUCACUGGGCUUAAAGCGUGUGUAGGCGGAUUUGUAAGUACCUUGUGAAAUCCCACGGCUCAACCGUGGAACUGCUUGGUAUACUGCUUAUCUUGGGCCAUCUAGGGGCGAGCGGAACAAACGGUGGAGCGGUGAAAUGCGUAGAUAUCGUUUGGAACGCCAAUGGUGAAAACAGCUCGCUGGGGAUGUGCCGACGCUGAGAUACGAAAGCCAGGGGAGCGAACAGG